AGCGGCAUCGUUGGGUAGCUAUGUACGGUUGUGAUAAGCGCUGAAAGCAUCUAAGCACGAAGCACGCUUCAAGAUUAGGUAUCCCUGCCGAUUUAUCGGCACUAAAGACUCCUCGGAGAUGACGAGGUUGAUAGGCUGCAGGUAUAAGCACAGUAAUGUAUUUAGCCGAGCAGUACUAAUAGGUCGUGAGGCUUAACCAUAUUUUUAUUA
RNAcentral lists this ribosomal RNA (210 nucleotides) under Ignavibacteriales bacterium. Its description in RNAcentral is "partial 23S ribosomal RNA". It matches the Rfam family "Bacterial large subunit ribosomal RNA", at positions 2731 to 2925 of the family's 2925-position model. Lineage: Bacteria; Pseudomonadati; Ignavibacteriota; Ignavibacteria; Ignavibacteriales. The record is from RNAcentral.